Molecule: ribosomal RNA, 236 nt
Filed under: uncultured bacterium
Lineage: Bacteria
Description: partial 16S ribosomal RNA
Rfam family: Bacterial small subunit ribosomal RNA
Source: RNAcentral
CGGCGAACGGGUGAGUAACACGUGAGUAAUCUGCCUCUAGCUCUGGGAUAGCUCCGGGAAACCGGGAUUAAUACCGGAUAUGACCACUUGAGACAUCUUUUGUGGUGGAAAGUUUUUCGGCUGGAGAUGAGCUCGCGGCCUAUCAGCUUGUUGGUGGGGUAACGGCCUACCAAGGCGACGACGGGUAGCCGGCCUGAGAGGGCGACCGGCCACACUGGGACUGAGACACGGCCCAG